UUUCGCUCUUGCCUGCUACCAUGUAAGAGGAACCUUUCACCUUUCACCAUGAUUGUGAGGCCUCCCCAGCCACGUGGAACUUAAACAACUCAGCUAUCAAAGGCACAUUUGGGAGUUGGAAUACGAUUCACCUCUACCAAGACACAGAUGAAAAGAGUGGGCUUCCCAAGUUAAGGAAGCUGUCCUCCUCUCGAACUUGCCUGAUAAGGUAUUGUUAUGCUGUCCAGCACAGGCUGGUGUCUAACUCCUGGAUUAAAGCCAUCCUCCCUCCUCAGCUUCUCGAGUAUCUGGGACUACAGCACUUCCACAUCUUUCUGCUUUAACGUUCAGCACAAGCUAUAAUCAAUAUGUAUCUAUAUAAAGUCAAUACAUAUCCCUGGCUACGAUGUGAGCUUUUAAGAAAUGGGACUAUGUUCAGGAGAUCAAGACCAUCCUGGCUAACACGGUGAAACCCCAUCUCUACUAAAAGUACAAAAAGAAUUAGCCGGGCAUGAUGGCGGGCACCUGUAGUCCCAGCUACUCGGGAGACUGAGGUAGGAGAAUGGUGUGAACCUGGGAGGCGGAGCUUGCAGUGAGCGGAGAUCACGCCACUGCACUCCAGCCUGGGCAACACAGCGAGACUCCAUCAUCUCAAAAAAAAAAGAAAUGGGACUAUGUUUUUUUCAUCUCUGUAUUCACAGAGCUUAGCAUAAUGUCUAUAAUAUAGCUAUUUAUUAAAUAUCUCAUAUUUAUUGAAUAUUUGCUAAAUGAAUAAGUCAAUCAACCAUGCUAACCAUAAUCACAAUAAGUAAUUUUCACUGUUUGCUUAUUUUCACCAUUCAUUUUAUGAGCGCCAUCUAGAUCUGUGUGCUAUGUAGAUCUGUAUAGGAAAAAUAUGCGUCAGUGAUGGAGAUGCUUCCAGCAUAAAUAUACCAAGAAUUAUUAUAAAAUAUUCUGUUAUUUUUAAUAUCAAAAAUUAAAUUUCCAUGUAAAAGCAUUCCAACACUACAAUAUUAAAAAGAUAUACUGCAUGAAAUUAUAUGAGCACUAAUUUAGGGAAUAUUAUGAGAACACUUAAGAAGCUCAUGAGACCAACAGUGCAAAACUUAUCACUUGAUCAUCAGGAAAUAUGCAUUAAAACUGAUUCAAAUACCCCCAGAUCUAUCAUUAUAUUCAAAAAUUUCACUUUAAGACCUGUUUUCUGAUGCCAGAAAAAUGAAAAUAAAAUUAUACUAUAAGAAUAGAAAGACAAUGCAAUAUGAGUUGGCAAAAGUUUUAUUCCAAAGACUAAAAUAUACUUCCUGGAAAUAAUUCUCACUGAGGAAGACACCCAUCAAAGAAUAAACAUCUAAAAUGUGCCUAUUUACCAUUUUACCCCUAAUAAGACAAUGUUCUUUGCUAAUCUUCACAUUAUCCCACCCGUUCAUAUUUGUAUACACUUUGAAAAUCUAUCUAUGAUGCUAUUAGCUGUGUACUUCAAAACUUAUUUCUGGUAGUCAGAUAUCAGAACAUAUAGUCAGUAAAUUGCCUGCACAAAUCAAAAUGCUUUGCAGUAGCUCUGAACAUCCAAGUUCCUAGAGCACAAUCACUUCCUGAAAUGUCUAUCACCAUCAUCAUCCUCAUCAGCAUCUCAAUUAUCUUUUCAGAAAAAAAAAUGCAUUGAAUUCCAUUAAAUAUGUAUGACUAGAAUUUGCACAAGAAUACAUGGAGAUUAGUUAGUUAUAUGUUGCAUUUUCUCCUUAGGAGUAUGUACUCUAAUUGCAUAGAAAAGUUAGACCAAUAUGUUACCAACUGAUACAUAAAUGAAUGAAGUAGAAAAUAAAUGUGGGCACAAUGUAAAUAUGACAAAUUCAUAUUACAAUCCGUACAUGAUUGUAUAAAACUUUAAGACUAGGCGUGGUGGCUGACACCUGGAAUCCCAACAUUUUGGGAGACCAAGGCAGGAGGACUGCUUGAGUCCAGGAGUUCAAGACCAGCCUGGGCAACAGUGAGACCUCAAUCUUUACAAAAAUAAAAAUUAUCCAGGUAAGGUGGACCUUACCUAUAGUCCCAGCUACUUGGAAUUGCUAGAGCCCAGGAGAUCAAGGCUGCAGUGGGCUAUGAUUUCACCACUGCACUCCAGACUGGGUGACAAAGCGAGAACGAGACCUUUCUCUCUUUCUCUCCAUAGGUGUGUAAACUAAAUAUAUAUAUUUAGUUUCCAAAUAUUAGAAACAAUAGGACCAAAGAGGUAGGGAAGACACAGACAUCAAAAAAACAGUGACACAUAUUAGGAAAUGAAAUUCUCACAAUUAUUCAUAAAUAUCCAACAUACAGAAACCUAAAAAAUGUUUUCAUAGGCUGGGUUAGAUUAUGAUACAGUAACAAUUUAACCUCCAAAUCUUAAUGCACUAAAUUAGCAACAGUGUAUUUCUCAUUCAUUCUACAUAUCCAUUUGGAUUAAGGGAUUGGGGUGGAGGGGAGAAACUGUGCCACAUCUCUUCACUCCAGGAACAAUGCUAACAGAACCUCCACGUCGGGAACUAGUCGCCACAGCAAAGGAAAAGAGGUUCUGACCCAAUUGUACAGGAGCUCUUAAAGCUUCCUCCCAGAUGUGACAUAUAUAUCUUCUUUUCAUGAUUCAUUGACCAGAGCAAGUUACAUGGCUAUGCUUAAUGUAUAGAGAAUGGGAAAUGCCAAACUACCUUGUGUACUGCAUGAAUGAAUAAAUAAUCACACAUUCUCUAAUAUCAAAAUGUCUGGAAAGUUUAAGUAAUUGGCAUAUACAUUAAGUAAAGUGUAUGUAAUAUAUCUUUGUGAUUUUUUUUCUUUCCAGAUAUAUUCGGCACCUUAAGAAUAUUGGCAGAAACACAACAGUCUUAAUGCAGCUUUCCAGGAAUGCUCCAUUUUUCUCUCUUCUCUCUUCCUCUAAGGCAGCUCUAUACAAGUUUAGCAAAAUUAAAUAUAUGUGGAAGUGUUAGUGGAUUCCUUCAAAGUAAUUAGUGGGUUUUGCUUCAUGAGGAGCAGGAAAAGUGAAAGUGUCAUGUAUCAAUUCCAUUGCUCCUGAGUUUAUUUCCUUGAGCUAAACCAAAAUGAAACAAGUGGACAUGGUAAACAGACUACAAAAAAAAAAAAAAAAAAAAAGAAAAACUGUCUAAAAGUUGACUUUGUUCUGAAUUCCUUUAUAAUUGCCUCAGUGUUUUUAUAUAGUUUAAAUACAACAGACACAGUUUAAAAUAGUGCAUUUCAUUUAUUUUCACCAUCUCCCACCUGUUCGUGAAUGGCACUGGGUAAGAAUAAAGAUGGCUAAACUAAGCAUGGAGAUGGGGAAAAGAUAAUGCUUAUGCAAAUGUCUGAAAAAACUUACAUUAUUUUCUGAACAUAGAAGAGGAGGCUUAAGUACUAAAAAUACAUACAACUGCUCCCUUACAUAUUACUAUAGCUGCUUUUAUAAAACUUUGAAGAAUUUGCCUAUCUCAGUUUAUCUUUUCUCAAAACUUCAGAAUCAAAAUCUUUACAUUAUUCCAGAAAUAAAGG
RNAcentral lists this long non-coding RNA (3495 nucleotides) under Homo sapiens (human). Its description in RNAcentral is "HSALNT0180725". The record is from RNAcentral. Lineage: Eukaryota; Metazoa; Chordata; Mammalia; Primates; Hominidae.